This 766-nucleotide ribosomal RNA is filed under the name uncultured organism. Its description in RNAcentral is "bacterial SSU rRNA". It matches the Rfam family "Bacterial small subunit ribosomal RNA", at positions 41 to 827 of the family's 1533-position model. The record is from RNAcentral.
GGCGCGCUUAAUGCAUGCAAGUCGAGCGAUGAGGCCUCUUCGGGGGGUACAUCAGCGGCAGACGGGUGAGUAACACGUAGGUGAUCUACCCCAGAGACGGGGAUAACGGGUGGAAACAUCCGCUAAUACCGGAUAGGCUUGUUCGGUCAAAGGGACAAGGAAAGGCCCCGGCGCUCUGGGAGGAGCCUGCGGCCCAUCAGCUAGUUGGCGGGGUAACGGCCCACCAAGGCAAAGACGGGUAGGGGGUGUGAGAGCAUGGCCCCCCACAAUGGGACUGGAACACGGCCCAUACUCCUACGGGAGGCAGCAGCAGGGAAUAUUGCACAAUGGACGGAAGUCUGAUGCAGCGACGCCGCGUGGAUGAAGAAGGCCCUCGGGUUGUAAAAUCCUUUACAGGGGGAAGAGGAAGGACGGUACCCCUGGAACAAGUGUCGGCUAACUACGUGCCAGCAGCCGCGGUAAGACGUAGGACACAAGCGUUAUCCGGAUUUACUGGGCGUAAAGCGUCUGCAGGCGGACAGGUAAGUUGGGCGUGAAAGCUCCGGGCCCAACCCGGAGAGGUCGUUCAAUACUGCGUGUCUAGAGGGUGUCAGAGGGGAGUGGAAUUUCCGGAGUAGCGGUAAAAUGCGCAGAGAUCGGAAAGAACACCAAUGGCGAAGGCAGCUCCCUGGGGCAAACCUGACGCUAAGAGACGAAAGCUAGGGGAGCGAACAGGAUUAGAGACCCUGGUAGUCCUAGCCCUAAACGAUGGAUGCUGGAUGUGGGG